Molecule: long non-coding RNA, 293 nt
Organism: Xiphophorus couchianus (Monterrey platyfish)
Lineage: Eukaryota; Metazoa; Chordata; Actinopteri; Cyprinodontiformes; Poeciliidae
Exons: 2
Source: RefSeq, a predicted model, not a curated record
GGGCGGCGGUGCGUGGCCAUGUUGCGGGUUCCUGGAUGUCUCGGCUCUCAGAGGACUGACGCUGUAGCGGGACGGAGACUCCAGAGUCGACCGAGAAGGGGAGUGAGCAGACGUCUGCGGGGGGAAGAUGGCGGAAAACGUUCAGCUGGCAGAUGGCACCAGGAGGAGGAGGAGGAGGAGGAAGGGCAGGAGGACAAGGAGGGACCUUUAUCUGGUACCUGAUAGGAGCUGACAGAGCGGAGCAGAUCGGGCAGCACUCUGAAUAAUAAAUAUGCUCUGUGAACGAAAACGAC